Molecule: ribosomal RNA, 60 nt
Filed under: uncultured organism
Description: partial 16S ribosomal RNA
Source: RNAcentral
UGUCCUUGACAUGCCGGGAAUUUUCCAGAAAUGGAGAAGUGCCUUCGGGAACCCGGACAC